This 68-nucleotide transfer RNA is filed under the name Marmota monax (woodchuck). Its description in RNAcentral is "tRNA.Glu". It matches the Rfam family "tRNA", at positions 6 to 65 of the family's 71-position model. From Rfam's summary of the family: Transfer RNA (tRNA) molecules are approximately 80 nucleotides in length. Their secondary structure includes four short double-helical elements and three loops (D, anti-codon, and T loops). Further hydrogen bonds mediate the characteristic L-shaped molecular structure. tRNAs have two regions of fundamental functional importance: the anti-codon, which is responsible for specific mRNA codon recognition, and the 3' end, to which the tRNAs corresponding amino acid is attached (by aminoacyl-tRNA synthetases). tRNAs cope with the degeneracy of the genetic code in two manners: having more than one tRNA (with a specific anti-codon) for a particular amino acid; and 'wobble' base-pairing, i.e. permitting non-standard base-pairing at the 3rd anti-codon position. The record is from RNAcentral. Lineage: Eukaryota; Metazoa; Chordata; Mammalia; Rodentia; Sciuridae.
GGAUAUACUUCAGUUGGUAGAAUGUUUGCCUCUCAUACUGAAGGCUCUGGGUUCAAUCCCCAGUACCA